GGGUUGUGAGGUUAAGCGACUAAGCGUACACGGUGGAUGCCCUGGCAGUCAGAGGCGAUGAAGGACGUGCUAAUCUGCGAUAAGCGUCGGUAAGGUGAUAUGAACCGUUAUAACCGGCGAUUUCCGAAUGGGGAAACCCAGUGUGUUUCGACACACUAUCAUUAACUGAAUCCAUAGGUUAAUGAGGCGAACCGGGGGAACUGAAACAUCUAAGUACCCCGAGGAAAAGAAAUCAACCGAGAUUCCCCCAGUAGCGGCGAGCGAACGGGGAGCAGCCCAGAGCCUGAAUCAGUGUGUGUGUUAGUGGAAGCGUCUGGAAAGGCGCGCGAUACAGGGUGACAGCCCCGUACACAAAAAUGCACAUACUGUGAGCUCGAUGAGUAGGGCGGGACACGUGGUAUCCUGUCUGAAUAUGGGGGGACCAUCCUCCAAGGCUAAAUACUCCUGACUGACCGAUAGUGAACCAGUACCGUGAGGGAAAGGCGAAAAGAACCCCGGCGAGGGGAGUGAAAAAGAACCUGAAACCGUGUACGUACAAGCAGUGGGAGCACGCUUCGGCGUGUGACUGCGUACCUUUUGUAUAAUGGGUCAGCGACUUAUAUUCUGUAGCAAGGUUAACCGAAUAGGGGAGCCGAAGGGAAACCGAGUCUUAACUGGGCGUUAAGUUGCAGGGUAUAGACCCGAAACCCGGUGAUCUAGCCAUGGGCAGGUUGAAGGUUGGGUAACACUAACUGGAGGACCGAACCGACUAAUGUUGAAAAAUUAGCGGAUGACUUGUGGCUGGGGGUGAAAGGCCAAUCAAACCGGGAGAUAGCUGGUUCUCCCCGAAAGCUAUUUAGGUAGCGCCUCGUGAAUUCAUCUCCGGGGGUAGAGCACUGUUUCGGCAAGGGGGUCAUCCCGACUUACCAACCCGAUGCAAACUGCGAAUACCGGAGAAUGUUAUCACGGGAGACACACGGCGGGUGCUAACGUCCGUCGUGAAGAGGGAAACAACCCAGACCGCCAGCUAAGGUCCCAAAGUCAUGGUUAAGUGGGAAACGAUGUGGGAAGGCCCAGACAGCCAGGAUGUUGGCUUAGAAGCAGCCAUCAUUUAAAGAAAGCGUAAUAGCUCACUGGUCGAGUCGGCCUGCGCGGAAGAUGUAACGGGGCUAAACCAUGCACCGAAGCUGCGGCAGCGACACUAUGUGUUGUUGGGUAGGGGAGCGUUCUGUAAGCCUGUGAAGGUGUGCUGUGAGGCAUGCUGGAGGUAUCAGAAGUGCGAAUGCUGACAUAAGUAACGAUAAAGCGGGUGAAAAGCCCGCUCGCCGGAAGACCAAGGGUUCCUGUCCAACGUUAAUCGGGGCAGGGUGAGUCGACCCCUAAGGCGAGGCCGAAAGGCGUAGUCGAUGGGAAACAGGUUAAUAUUCCUGUACUUGGUGUUACUGCGAAGGGGGGACGGAGAAGGCUAUGUUGGCCGGGCGACGGUUGUCCCGGUUUAAGCGUGUAGGCUGGUUUUCCAGGCAAAUCCGGAAAAUCAAGGCUGAGGCGUGAUGACGAGGCACUACGGUGCUGAAGCAACAAAUGCCCUGCUUCCAGGAAAAGCCUCUAAGCAUCAGGUAACAUUAAAUCGUACCCCAAACCGACACAGGUGGUCAGGUAGAGAAUACCAAGGCGCUUGAGAGAACUCGGGUGAAGGAACUAGGCAAAAUGGUGCCGUAACUUCGGGAGAAGGCACGCUGAUAUGUAGGUGAAGUCCCUCGCGGAUGGAGCUGAAAUCAGUCGAAGAUACCAGCUGGCUGCAACUGUUUAUUAAAAACACAGCACUGUGCAAACACGAAAGUGGACGUAUACGGUGUGACGCCUGCCCGGUGCCGGAAGGUUAAUUGAUGGGGUUAGCGGUAACGCGAAGCUCUUGAUCGAAGCCCCGGUAAACGGCGGCCGUAACUAUAACGGUCCUAAGGUAGCGAAAUUCCUUGUCGGGUAAGUUCCGACCUGCACGAAUGGCGUAAUGAUGGCCAGGCUGUCUCCACCCGAGACUCAGUGAAAUUGAACUCGCUGUGAAGAUGCAGUGUACCCGCGGCAAGACGGAAAGACCCCGUGAACCUUUACUAUAGCUUGACACUGAACAUUGAGCCUUGAUGUGUAGGAUAGGUGGGAGGCUUUGAAGUGUGGACGCCAGUCUGCAUGGAGCCGACCUUGAAAUACCACCCUUUAAUGUUUGAUGUUCUAACGUUGACCCGUAAUCCGGGUUGCGGACAGUGUCUGGUGGGUAGUUUGACUGGGGCGGUCUCCUCCUAAAGAGUAACGGAGGAGCACGAAGGUUGGCUAAUCCUGGUCGGACAUCAGGAGGUUAGUGCAAUGGCAUAAGCCAGCUUGACUGCGAGCGUGACGGCGCGAGCAGGUGCGAAAGCAGGUCAUAGUGAUCCGGUGGUUCUGAAUGGAAGGGCCAUCGCUCAACGGAUAAAAGGUACUCCGGGGAUAACAGGCUGAUACCGCCCAAGAGUUCAUAUCGACGGCGGUGUUUGGCACCUCGAUGUCGGCUCAUCACAUCCUGGGGCUGAAGUAGGUCCCAAGGGUAUGGCUGUUCGCCAUUUAAAGUGGUACGCGAGCUGGGUUUAGAACGUCGUGAGACAGUUCGGUCCCUAUCUGCCGUGGGCGCUGGAGAACUGAGGGGGGCUGCUCCUAGUACGAGAGGACCGGAGUGGACGCAUCACUGGUGUUCGGGUUGUCAUGCCAAUGGCACUGCCCGGUAGCUAAAUGCGGAAGAGAUAAGUGCUGAAAGCAUCUAAGCACGAAACUUGCCCCGAGAUGAGUUCUCCCUGACUCCUUGAG
Molecule: ribosomal RNA, 2811 nt
Filed under: Escherichia coli
Lineage: Bacteria; Pseudomonadati; Pseudomonadota; Gammaproteobacteria; Enterobacterales; Enterobacteriaceae
Description: partial 23S ribosomal RNA
Rfam family: Bacterial large subunit ribosomal RNA
Source: RNAcentral